Molecule: long non-coding RNA, 1035 nt
Filed under: Bos grunniens (domestic yak)
Lineage: Eukaryota; Metazoa; Chordata; Mammalia; Artiodactyla; Bovidae
Description: lncRNA (ENSBGRG00000021506.1)
Source: RNAcentral
AUGCAGCGCGCGGCGGCGCGAGCAGGUACGGCCCGUGCCUGCCGCUUCCCGGUCUCCUGUGUUGGGGCCGGCCAGGGUCCAGCCCGCGCGGCGCCAAAGUUUGCGCACGCUGCCCCGGAGUUGCGCUCGGGACGGCGCCGCGUGAGCGGGCGACGGGCGGCUGGGGCGGCGCCCCGACCAGAAUCCUCUCCAAGUCCCGCUCGGAGUCCCGCACCGUGCCUGGUUCCGCGUCCAGUCCCGCUCCCCGUCUCAGUCCCUCUCCUAGUCCUGCUCGCGCCACGCCCGGGGCCCCGCUCCUUGCUUCUGUCCUGUUUGGUGCCGGAGCGUGCACGCGGGGCGAGGCAGGGGCGAGGCAGCUGCGGGGCUGGGCGCGCCGGGACCGGUGUGGCGCGCAGCCACAAAGUUUGCGGAGCGCGGGUAACGGGCGCGCGCUCGGGCCCGGGCGCUCGGAGCAAACGGCCGCAGGUGACUGAGCGCUGGCUCGCGGGGGCGCGGCGCGGGGCACAGGUGCGCAGCCCGUGGGCGGCGCUGUGCACGCGGGACGGGCAGACCGGCCGCGAGCGCGAAAGCCGGGUGGCGGCGGCGCGCCCAGCGGGCCCAGUGCCGGCGAGCGGGAUGCAGCGCGCGGCGGCGCGAGCAGGUACGGCCCGUGCCUGCCGCUUCCCGGUCUCCUGUGUUGGGGCCGGCCAGGGUCCAGCCCCGCGCGGCGCCAAAGUUUGCGCACGCUGCCCCGGAGUUGCGCUCGGGACGGCGCCGCGUGAGCGGGCGACGGGCGGCUGGGGCGGCGCGCCCCGACCAGAAUCCCUCUCCAAGUCCCGCUCGGAGUCCCGCACCGUGCCUGGUUCCGCGUCCAGUCCCGCUCCCCGUCUCAGUCCCUCUCCUAGUCCUGCUCGCGCCACGCCCGGGGCCCCGCCCUGCUUCUGUCCUGUUUGGUGCCGGAGCGUGCACGCGGGCGAGGCAGGGCGAGGCAGCUGCGGGCUGGGCGCGCUGGGACCGGUGUGGCGCGCAGCCACAAAGUUUGCGGAGCGCGGGUAA